AGUGAACGCUGGCGGUAGGCCUAACACAUGCAAGUCGAACGGCAGCACAGUAAGAGCUUGCUCUUACGGGUGGCGAGUGGCGGACGGGUGAGGAAUACAUCGGAAUCUACUUUUUCGUGGGGGAUAACGUAGGGAAACUUACGCUAAUACCGCAUACGACCUACGGGUGAAAGCAGGGGAUCUUCGGACCUUGCGCGAUUGAAUGAGCCGAUGUCGGAUUAGCUAGUUGGCGGGGUAAAGGCCCACCAAGGCGACGAUCCGUAGCUGGUCUGAGAGGAUGAGCAGCCACACUGGAUCUGAGACACGGUCCAGACUCCUACGGGAGGCCGCAGUGGGGACUAUUGGACAAUGGGCGCAAGCCUGAUCCAGCCAUACCGCGUGGGUGAAGAAGGCCUUCGGGUUGUAAAGCCCUUUUGUUGGGAAAGAAAAGCAGCAGGUUAAUACCCCGCUGUUCUGACGGUACCCAAAGAAUAAGCACCGGCUAACUUCGU
RNAcentral lists this ribosomal RNA (491 nucleotides) under uncultured bacterium. Its description in RNAcentral is "partial 16S ribosomal RNA". It matches the Rfam family "Bacterial small subunit ribosomal RNA", at positions 29 to 506 of the family's 1533-position model. The record is from RNAcentral.